UGAGUAAGGGCGUGCGGUGGAUGCCUUGACUGAAGAAGGCGAUGAAGGACGCGGCUUAGCUGCGAUACGCUUCGGGGAGGUGCUAUGCAACCAGCGAUCCGGAGAUUUCCGAAUGGGGAAACCCCAUCGAGUUAACCCUCGGUGAUUCUCUACUUAAACGAUAGAGAAAGCAGACCUCGGGAAGUGAAACAUCUCAGUACCGAGAGGAAAAGAGAACAAUAGUUAUUCCCUUAGUAGCGGCGAGCGAAACGGGAGGAGCCCAAACUCAGCCACAAUGUAGUUCUGCGAAGCAAUUCGUAGGGCGACAUUGGGGAUGGGGGUUAUAAGACUACGGCGUGUACGCGAAAGCGUACGUAGAGUUAAAAAAUGCUUAGUUAGAGGAAUGCGCUGGAAAGCGCGGCCCUAGAGGGUAAUGGCCCCGUACUCGAAAACGAAGCAUCUCUAUGGCUGUAGUUCUUGAGUAGCUCGAGACAUGAAUAGCUCGGGUGAAUUUGCCAGGACUAACUGGUAAGGCUACAUACUUCUUCAGAUCGAUAGUGAACAAGUACCGUGAGGGAAAGGUGAAAAGAACCCCGGUGAGGGGAGUGAAAUAGACCUGAAACCGCAUGCCUACAAGGAGUCAGAGCGGGCAGCAAUGUCCGUCAUGGCGUGCCUAUUGAAGAAUGAGCCAACGAGUUGAUGCAUACGGCUUGGCUAAGGCCUUAUCGGCUGGAGCCGCAGCGAAAGCGAGUGUUAAUAGCGCGUAAGCCCAGCACUAACUUUGGCCUUGCUAUGAUUGGGGCAUGUACUACAUGUAUGUGCUUGAAGAUGAUAGCGGGGAAUUAUAUUUCGGUUCAACGAAUGAUUUAAAGCGACGGCUUUCCGAGCAUCGCCGCGGUCAUUCUCGAACGACAAAAGGCAGGAGAAUGUCAUUGGUCUACUAUGAAGCGUAUCGUGCGGAAGCCGAUGCGCGGCGAAGAGAAGACCAGAUGAAACUGCACGGUCAAGCGAAACGACAACUGAAAGAUCGUAUUCGUGAAAGCCGUCGAGGCCAAAGUUAGUGCUGGGUCGUCGUAUGUAUCAGACCCGAAGCAACGUGAGCUACCCAUGAGCAGGCUGAACGUUCUCGAAAGAGAACGGGAGGGCCGAACCCAUAGAUUGUACAACAUCUCGGGAUGACUUGUGGGUUGGAGUGAAAAGCUUAUCGAACGUUGUAAUAGCUGGUUCUCUCCGAAAGAGCUUUCGGGCUUGCGUCGCAUGUUCCCUUUGGGGGUAGAGCACUGGAAGGUUUCGACAGGUCGAAAGACCGCGAAACCUAUCAAACUCCGAAUACCAGAGGUUAGAGUGCGGCAGUUAGACUACGGGGGCGAAGCUCCGUUGGUCAAAAGGGAAACAGCCCAGAUCGCAAGCUAAGGUCCCUAAAUUUACGCUAAGUGCAAUGAAGGAGGUGAGAUUUCUUAGACAGUGAGGAUGUUGGCUUAGAAGCAGCCACCAUUCAAAGAAAGCGUAACAGCUCACUCACUUAGAGGUCUCGCGCCAAAAAUGAUCGGGGCUAAGCGUAGUACCGAAGCUGCGGAUUUAAUAUGUCUUCGGACAUAAUAAGUGGUAGGAGAGCGUUCCAAUCUGCGAUGAAGGUAAAGGGGAGACCCAUACUGGAGCGUUUGGAAGUGAAAAUGUUGGCACGAGUAACCGCAAUGCGAGUGAGAUUCUCGCACGCCGAAAGAUCAAGGUU
This 1711-nucleotide ribosomal RNA is filed under the name Candidatus Kaiserbacteria bacterium RIFCSPLOWO2_01_FULL_52_36. RNAcentral's name for it is "partial 23S ribosomal RNA". It matches the Rfam family "Bacterial large subunit ribosomal RNA", at positions 1 to 1352 of the family's 2925-position model. Lineage: Bacteria; Candidatus Kaiseribacteriota. The record is from RNAcentral.